UUACGGUCAAAUCACACUGAAACACCGGUUCUCGUACGAUCACCGAAGUUAAGCAGCGUAGAGCCAGGUCAGUACUUAGAUGGGGGACCGCUUGGGAACACCUGGUACUGUAAG
RNAcentral lists this ribosomal RNA (114 nucleotides) under Acanthosepion pharaonis. The record is from RNAcentral. Lineage: Eukaryota; Metazoa; Mollusca; Cephalopoda; Sepiida; Sepiidae.